RNAcentral lists this ribosomal RNA (409 nucleotides) under uncultured Acidobacteriota bacterium. Its description in RNAcentral is "bacterial SSU rRNA". It matches the Rfam family "Bacterial small subunit ribosomal RNA", at positions 46 to 443 of the family's 1533-position model. Lineage: Bacteria; Pseudomonadati; Acidobacteriota. The record is from RNAcentral.
GCCUAACACAUGCAAGUCGAACGCGAGAGGGGAGCAAUCCCUGAUUGAGUGGCAAACGGGUGAGUAACACGUGGGUGACCUGCCUUCGAGUGGGGGAUAACGUCCCGAAAGGGACGCUAAUACCGCAUGACAUCCUGCUUUUGGAAAAGCGGACAUUAAAGCUGGGGAUCGCAAGACCUGGCGCUUGAAGAGGGGCCCGCGCCUGAUUAGCUAGUUGGUGAGGUAACGGCUCACCAAGGCGACGAUCAGUAUCCGGCCUGAGAGGGCGGACGGACACACUGGGACUGAGACACGGCCCAGACUCCUACGGGAGGCAGCAGUGGGGAAUUGUUCGCAAUGGGCGCAAGCCUGACGACGCAACGCCGCGUGGAGGACGAAGAUCUUCGGGUCGUAAACUCCUGUCGAGCGG